UCGCACAUGUACACCAGAAGAUAUGCACAAGAUGGGGCCUCACUGCACUCUGAAUGUUAAGAGUAGAAACAGCCUACCUGGAGUGGAUCAACUGAGGCUUAUUAUAAUGAAGGUCAAUGUAGAAGCUAAUGUGAAUCAACCAGAUCCACAUGUAUCAACCUAGGGUUCAGAAGCAUCGAAAGUGCCCAUGUAGCAACCGACGCAUUACUGAACCAGAAUUCAUCUUCAUGUGGGUAGAAGACUGUAAGAUUGAGGUCCCUGUUUUUUGCCAACUGUCAGCCAGGCACUGCUCUCAGCUCCUAGAGGCUACUACCCCCCAAUUCCUUGCCAUGUGACUCUCUCACAGGCCCUUUCAGAACA
Molecule: long non-coding RNA, 360 nt
Organism: Suricata suricatta (meerkat)
Lineage: Eukaryota; Metazoa; Chordata; Mammalia; Carnivora; Herpestidae
Exons: 3
Source: RefSeq, a predicted model, not a curated record